Molecule: ribosomal RNA, 486 nt
Filed under: uncultured bacterium
Lineage: Bacteria
Description: partial 16S ribosomal RNA
Rfam family: Bacterial small subunit ribosomal RNA
Source: RNAcentral
AUUGAACGCUGGCGGCAUGCCUUACACAUGCAAGUCGAACGGCAGCACGGGUGCUUGCACCUGGUGGCGAGUGGCGAACGGGUGAGUAAUACAUCGGAACAUGUCCUGUAGUGGGGGAUAGCCCGGCGAAAGCCGGAUUAAUACCGCAUACGAACUACGGAUGAAAGCGGGGGACCUUCGGGCCUCGCGCUAUAGGGUUGGCCGAUGGCUGAUUAGCUAGUUGGUGGGGUAAAGGCCUACCAAGGCGACGAUCAGUAGCUGGUCUGAGAGGACGACCAGCCACACUGGGACUGAGACACGGCCCAGACUCCUACGGGAGGCAGCAGUGGGGAAUUUUGGACAAUGGGUGAAGGCCUGAUCCAGCAAUGCCGCGUGUGUGAAGAAGGCCUUCGGGUUGUAAAGCACUUUUGUCCGGAAAGAAAUCCUUGGCCCUAAUACGGUCGCGGGAUGACGGUACCGGAAGAAUAAGCACCGGCUAACUACGUG